GUGCUGCAGACACCUGACAGAGGAGAACUCAGACUACCAGCAUGACCGGGACGAUAAGUGGCGCUCGCCCAGCACUGCUGCCAGCCUCUCUGAGAUUGAAGCCAAGCUGUCUUCUGUAUGGAUUAGUCAAGCAUACCGCCGAGACCCUACUGGUGACCAGCUUCAGGACCGAGCCACCCUAAAGGAGAUCUCAGAGGAGGACCGAGCCACCCUAAAGGAGAUCUCAGAGGAGGACCGAGCCACCCUAAAGGAGAUCUCAGAGGAGGACCGAGCCACCCUAAAGGAGAUCUCAGAGGAGGAGCAAGUGCCCACAUGGAAGGAAGAGGGAGAGCUGGCUCUGUG
This is a long non-coding RNA of Oncorhynchus tshawytscha (Chinook salmon), 342 nucleotides long. RefSeq lists it as uncharacterized. The record is from RefSeq and is a predicted model, not a curated record. Lineage: Eukaryota; Metazoa; Chordata; Actinopteri; Salmoniformes; Salmonidae. The transcript has 3 exons.